GUGUGAAUUAAUGCGAACUGCAUACUGCUUUGAACAUCGACAUCUUGAACGCAUAUUGCGGCCACGGGUUAGCCUGUGGCCACGCCUGUCCGAGGGUC
RNAcentral lists this ribosomal RNA (98 nucleotides) under Paragonimus westermani. Its description in RNAcentral is "partial 5.8S ribosomal RNA". It matches the Rfam family "5.8S ribosomal RNA", at positions 55 to 153 of the family's 154-position model. From Rfam's summary of the family: 5.8S ribosomal RNA (5.8S rRNA) is a component of the large subunit of the eukaryotic ribosome. The record is from RNAcentral. Lineage: Eukaryota; Metazoa; Platyhelminthes; Trematoda; Plagiorchiida; Troglotrematidae.